Molecule: small nucleolar RNA, 139 nt
Organism: Ornithorhynchus anatinus (platypus)
Lineage: Eukaryota; Metazoa; Chordata; Mammalia; Monotremata; Ornithorhynchidae
Source: RefSeq, a predicted model, not a curated record
ACCCUCUCAGGAUAGUACCUAGAGAGUUUCCAGUACUCUACCAGUCUCGAUUACAGGAGGGGAGAGUUAAGCAGAGGCAUACCCAUUUCAUUCCUAGCUUGGCCAGUGGCUAGCAAGUGGAAGACAAUCUGCUACAAGU